This 334-nucleotide ribosomal RNA is filed under the name uncultured bacterium. RNAcentral describes it as "bacterial SSU rRNA". It matches the Rfam family "Bacterial small subunit ribosomal RNA", at positions 568 to 899 of the family's 1533-position model. The record is from RNAcentral.
CGCGUAGGUGGUUCUUCAAGUCAGAUGUUAAAUCUACCCGGCUUAACUGGGAGCUGUCAUCUGAUACUGCUGGACUUGAGGGUGGUAGAGGGAGGUGGAAUUCCCGGUGUAGUGGUGAAAUGCGUAGAUAUCGGGAGGAACACCAGUGGCGAAAGCGGCCUCCUAGGCCAUUCCUGACACUGAGGCGCGAAAGCGUGGGGAGCGAACAGGAUCAGAUACCCUGGUAGUCCACGCCCUAAACUGUGGAAACUAGGUACAGGGAGUAUCGACCCUUCCUGCGCCGUAGCUAACGCGUUAAGUUUCCCGCCUGGGGACUACGGUCGCAAGACUAAAA